This 6419-nucleotide long non-coding RNA is filed under the name Vitis vinifera (wine grape). RNAcentral describes it as "long non-coding RNA (VVIN_LNC000568)". Lineage: Eukaryota; Viridiplantae; Streptophyta; Magnoliopsida; Vitales; Vitaceae. The record is from RNAcentral.
GCUUUUGUUCAUAUUCCAUGUUAUUACAGCUUCUCCCAACAAACUAGGAAGGUUAUGCAUGCCGUGAGGGACUCAAAAUCUGCAAGGUUUCAUCCUCCACUUCAUUUAUUCAUUUCUUUUGCAGAUGUAUGACAACUAGAAGAUGCCUUAUUCCAUCCAUCCAUUCAUUUAUAUGCCUUGUUCCAUCCAUCCAUUCAUUUAUCACCAAAAUCCAAGCACCUGAUCAGCCACCAAUGGGAUUCAAGGUAAAACGGCCUACUUUUGUUAUCCUCAUUUUGCAUGGAUUGCAUGCAGACUUUCCUUUAUCAACCUGAAUGAAUUUUCCACUUGUGGUAUGCUUUAUCCGUUUCUCCUUAUAUUUAUUUUCCCCUCUUUGGUAAUCUUCUCUAGCAAUUGUUCUCUCAAAUUAAAUGUAUAAAAACAUGUACAAAUUGAAACCUCCAUUUUAGACCAAUCCUUGUUUAUGCCAUUUUUGUAAAAUAUGUUUCCUUUGCUAUAGUCAAUUCCUUGAAUCACUCUACGAGGCUCAAAACUCCUAUAUGAUUAUUUGACUUGGGGUUGUAACUAUUACAUUUGCCUUCAAUUCUGUCUAGUUUUCCACAGGGAUUUUGCGAGAUAUUGUUCCAUUUGAUCCAUCUACAUCCAUGUCUUUUCUGUUCUAUCAACUGUGUAAAUCUUUAAUGUGGAUAGGUUUGAUUUAUAUCAUCUUCAUAGCAUGUGGGUAUGUUGAGGGCAGAGCAGAGCAAUGUACUAUUUUCUAUUCCUGAGAACUGAAAAUAUGCCCAGAAAACAUGUUUGGUACCGCAUUUUUUCAUGCUUUUAUUUUCAGUCUCUUUAAGAAAAUUUAAGUUCUGGAAUCUUCGUAAUGUUUUGAGGAUUGGGAAUCAGGUGAUGGUAUCUAUUUUCGCAGGAUGACUGAAUUGAUUUGUUGUCAUAGCAGGUAGGGUUUUUUCUCUGUUCAGUCUAGUUGAAGAUGACUUUUGAUGGUGGGGGGUAACGGGAAUUAUAGGGCCUCUUUGGUAACAGUUUUUGAGAACGGUUCUCAAAGAACAAUUAUUAGAAGCAGUUUUCAACUGUUUUCAAGAACAAAAUUUGUUUAAAAGCUCAAAUUGUUUUUUCUUUGUACUAAAGAACAUGCAACUGUUUUCAAGAUCACUUACCAAACAGACCCCAAGACUUUGUCUUUGAGGUUGAAACAAAAUGUGAUGACAGUAAAGGGUGAGAGUAUUGUAACGUUGUACUCGGUGAUACGUGUAAAUGGGUGGAUUUGAUUGUAUAAUAAGGGUGUGUUUGGGAGGCUUUUUAUUUGAAGCAUUUUCUUUAGAAACGUUUUUAGUCUUGUCGAGAGCUAUAAAUGAUUUUUAAUUUUUAAAAAUACCUAAUUUUUUUUCUUUCAAAAACCUUUUUGUACGUUAGAAAUAUUUUAAAAAAUAAUUAUGUUAAUAUUUUCUAGGAAUUUGUCCCUUGUUACUAUUAUCAUGGAUUCGAUGGGGAAAAAGUUGAUGUGUGAAGGAAAACGAUUUGGAUGAGAGUGCUCUUGAUAAACACGUUCAUUUGAGAGUGAUUUUAAGAUGGAGCAAAAGCAUUUCAUAAUGUUUAGAAACGCUUUCUUAGGUGUUUGAUAAAUUUUUAAAAAUUCAAAGAAUGAUUUGAAAUGAUAUUCAUAAACAACGAUUUAGAUCAUUUUUACAAAAAUCACCUUUGAUUAUAUACAAAGUAUUAAAAAAUAUAUUAUCCUAACAUUGAUUCCUCAACUGUUUUUAAUGGAAGCAUUGAUAACAAAAAUACAUUAGAUCACUAAAUCUUUCGACUGGACUGUAGAGUAAAAAUGUUUUUAUCCUUUCUACUAUUUGAAAAUUUUUAUGUAAUAGAAAAUUUUUAUUUUAGAAAUAUUAAAAAUACUUUUUAAAAUCAACGGCAAACAUGCUCUUCUGUUUGGUAAUUUAAAAAACACUUUUUAGUACAAAAGUGUCUUUGAAGAAAAAUAAGCAUUUCGCAAUUUAAAAAAGGUUAAAAAAGAUAGUGUUUUUUUAAGAACAUUGGAUAAAUAAUUCUUUUAAAAAUAUCUAUAAAAAAUGUUUUCACUAUUCAAAUAUAAAUACUCUUAAGGCACGUUUAUUUUCUCUAGAAACAUUUUUUUCAAAAGAAUUGCUUACCAAAUACUACUACAAAAAGCACUCUAUAAAUGAUUUUUUUAACUUUUUAGAAGUGUUUAAUAAAUUUUAUUGAUUUUUUUUCCAAAAAAAACCUUUUUAUACUGAGGGUGUUCUCUAAAAGCAUCGUUAAACAAACUCUUAUAAGGUUGCAGAAAGCUUCUAAUCAAAAUUCAAAGUUUCAACCAUUUAAAGAAGCAUUCAACAAAAAAAUCAAUCGCAAGUUUCGAUCCAACAAGGCGACCCGCAAAAGCGAAAACGACUAUGUUGUUGCUUUUCUGGAUUUGCAUUAGGUUUUUGAAGUUAAUUGUUCAAGGGUUAACAUAAAUGCGAUUCUAAUAAACAAAGACCUAUUCCAUAUUUCAGUGAUAAGCUUAAUCAUACAAAUAAGAGCUCAAUAAUCAGCCUACCGCCAUGAGUUCCAAGUAGUAUUAUUUCAUUUGUAAUAUCACAAGAAUGCAGCAAGAAUCUAUUUGUAUAAGGAGUUUUAGGUUACCUCUUCAAGUAGCUUUGCUGAAAGAAUUCUUUCAAUGACAAGAUGUAGCGAUGUAGUCCAUGGAUCAGACCAUGACUUGGUUUCUGAAUACCAGCUAUCAGCCCCCGAUAAUCUGACAAUGUGGCAUCAGACAAUGGCUCCAAGAACUCGCAGUGAGCCAAAAUUUCAGGUGGGGGCAUUCCAGCAAUGAGGUUGGUUUCCAGUUUUGGUUUCCCCUUGGUGAGCUCUCUAGGGGCUUCAACUGAGGCACAUUCAAUUGCAGAGGGGGAUGCACCGGGGAUUACUUCCUCUGUGAAAGGAAAAGCUCUUGCAGCUUGCAAGCAGAACUCUAUCCAUUGAUGGAUUACUGGAGAUGGCCCUCUGACUCGGCCCCCGAUUUGGCGGCUUCUUUCAAGUUUUGAAGUAGAUGGGAUUGCCUGCAGAAAGGAUACAGCAGAAUAUCCUAGUAAAUACACUAGUACACCAUGGAACAUAGACCAGCAUAGGAUAUCCAAAUCAGCUGAAAUAUCAAAACAGAUUCCAAUUCUCAUUAUAUUUAUCAUUAACCUGGUUCUUUCCUCAAUUUUUUUUUUCUUUUUCUUUUUAGAGCAUUAUUGAUAUAUUAGGGUUUUUGUUUUUCUUUUUUAUAGGCGAAGAUCAACACACUGUGAAGAAAGAAAGUAAAUGCAUAGUAUUAUGAGAUGAAAUCAGGACAUACCCAAAGAUCUGCCCAUAAGCUAGCUCCAGACUUAGGAACAAUUACUGCAACAUUAGACAUGCGUUUGGCUGCAGGAAGGACAUCACUACUCCACCCAACAGCCACCCAUACAUCUCCCACACUAAGUGCUUUUAUAUAGUGUGUGCUGUCAAAGCAUCGUACCUAUAUAAAGCCAUUUGAAUGCGUAAGUCCCAUUAUUGAUAUAAAAAAUAACAACCAUUGUACCACUCCAAAUGCAAAAUAGCUUUUAUGGAAUUCAAUUUCUUUUUGUUUUUCCUUUUUGACAGCACAAAAAUGGUAAGUUACCCUUACAUAAGCCAUAACUCACAAGUUGUAUCAGACUGAUUACCGUAGUUUACAAAAUCCGGUAGAAUUGACUCAGAGACUCAAAGUUAAUACAUAACAUAUCAAGUCCCAGAGCAAUACCAUCCAGUUAUUUUUGGUUAAUCACAUGAUAUUUAUUUCUUCUAUUUUAUGUUUUUUUUCCUUUUUCCUUUCUUUUCUCCAUUUCUUUGAUGAACUCACGGCUCUCAUCCUGGAUGUAAGAAAUAUCUAGCCAAUGAACAAUACUUAUUAUUGCAUGAGCGUCAGAUAAAACAACCGACAUAAUCUCAAUACCUGUUUCGCAAGCAACAUAAGAUUCUGCUGUACAGCAUUCCUCCCACCAUUAACUUGCAAUUCAAUGUUGUCUGUGUUGUAGGAUGCUCCCAUGUACUUUAAAACAGCACCAACAACCUCUCGUGGAGAAUCAAUCAUUGAAAUCCUCCCUGCAAGUUCAGGUCGCCAUAAAUCUGCCCAGUCCUGCAACCAUCAACUACUUAGUCCCAGAAUAAUUUUUUAUAGAAAACAAAGUUUUUGAAAAAUCCAUAGCAAUAGCUAGAAGUUUUUAUAAUGAGAUGAGUUGAAGCCAUGGCAAUGACAAGCAAUUAUACGAAUUCAUGCCUUCCCAAAUAAUCGGACGAACAAAUGCAGUGGUUGUGGGGGUUCUAUAGGAGACACAAUUUGCUGUGGCAUUAUUGAAAAUAUUUAUUUAUUUAUUUUUUGAUACUUAAUAUUGUUGCUACUCUUAUUCCUUUGACUUGAAGAAAUUCAAACCUGGAAUUUCCCAAAUCCCAGUCCAACCAAUUGCCCCUUGAGCCAGGCAUUAUUGGAAGCAUUUAUGGACUGAAACAACAAUCACUUAGCUAACUUUGUGGGUACGUGAUCACAUGUUGUCCUAAGAAUUGUCCUAAGAAAGACAUCUCUUAAUGUCACCAAAAUUGUGCUUCCUAUGUUCAACUCAUUAUUGAUGUUGGAUUGAAAAUUGGUUUCUUGGAGAAUUGACAUUGGGAGGAUCUACCCCUUUGCCUUCUUUUGAUCCUUGUCAAUUUCCUUCCUCAGAACAGAGAUUUCCCAAUACCCACAAUUCUCCAUUCUGAAACUCAAACUUUCAGCUUCACCAAACUAAUCAAGAAGUUAAUGGCCUGUAUAUUCUAAUCCUUUCCUUAAACCACAUUUAUCUAUCUUCAUCCUUUCCAAAUGAAAGAAUAGGAUCCAUGGCCUUCAGUUUUUUCUAAGCUAAGCCCUACUUUUCUAGCCUUUCUAAAAGUGGCAACCCAACACUCCUUUGUCAUCACCAACUUUAUUUGAAGUCCAUGGCUAUUCCAAAAAUUGGGCCUUGGCAUAGUUUAUCUGAGAUUGAAGCUCAAGAAUGUAAAUUGUAUUUUCCAGAAAUAGAUUCCAAAAGAGGAACAGAUAAGAGAUUCUUGUUCAAAUGUUUAGUUAUCAUUAGGAAUUUGAGAUUCCCCUCUAUCUUAAUAUUUUAGUUGUAGGUUUUCUCAAUAUUAUGAGAGAAAUAGAAUUGAUAGAAAAAUUAUGAACACCCCUUCAAAACAUAUUUAUUAAUAACAAAAAGAUUUAUUUAUAGGGGAAUAAAAAUGGGGUUGUCUCUUUGAUUUUUUCCAUUUUCUAAAAUCAAGAAUAAAAUAUCAUGGGUGGAGUGGGUAGGAGAUCCAACCUUGUUUGGGAUGAACUCAUACCUAAGGGAAUUGAAUUAAAAUUUUCCAAGCAAUGUGUAUCCCAAAUAGGAUAAAUUUUAUAUUCGGCAAUACACAUCCAUUUUCCAGUUAAAAUGCCUAUGAAGCAAACCAGUUAUCAAGGUCUUUAAUGUGUUAAUGGCCCUCUAGGGGGUUGGUUGUAUUUGGAUAGCAACAACUUUUUGUUACCGUUUUGACUGCCCAAAGGAUUUCUGAUCUCAUCCCUCUUUAUAUCACAUCCUUUCAUGAUAAAUAAUAUGGGUCUCCUAUCAAAGAAAAAAAAUCAAAUUAUUAAACAAAGUUUCCUCUAGCCAUAGAUCAUUAUGAAGUGAAAUCAAUUCUUUUUUUAAUAGGUAACGUUCUUUUCUUUUGUUGCCAAUGGAACCUGGAACUUAGAACCUCCCACAUCUCCGCUUCAACCCUUUGCCCCUUUGAGCCAUGCCUCAAAGGUCAUAAUUUAUCAAUUAUGAAUUGAAGUGAGAAUACAGAUCAUUUCAUAAUCUGUUACAUUAACAGAACAUCUUAUGUUUUGAUAUUAAAUUUUGGUUACUUUUUUAUUCUAGAAUUAGAUUUUCUUUUAUAGAAGGGGAUUGGUCCAUACAUUGAGGUGGAUUUUUUUAUUUUUCAUUUGAAUUAAAAAGAUAAAGCAUUUUCUUUUUAAAAUUUUCUGCAAUUGAAUAUAUACUUUAUACAUUAAAUAUUCAAUUUAGGCCACAACUGAAAUCAGUCUCCUUUUGUACUACAUAUAAAUUUUUAUAAUAGCAUCCUUUGUUCUUGUUAGCUGUUACUUGAAAGUAGAACUCACAAAAGCAUUGGAAGGAAAGGCAAGGCUAAAUCUAGACUGUACUAAAUUAUGAGGACAAACGAAAAAAUGAAGGAAGAAAUAAUUGCAGAAGAGAAAACUGUGUUUAUUGCAAUUGCAAUUGCAAAAGAGAAAAUUGUUUUGAUUUCAAAAAUAGAUAUUUCAAUUAGGUUCAGGUGAAAUAACCAGAACACUCAUCCAGAUUAAAACAAAGUAAAAAAAGAGUAGAAUACUUUUACAAUAUAACAAUUACAAA